GGUCCCAGUUCGGAUUGUAGGCUGCAACUCGCCUACAUGAAGUCGGAGUUGCUAGUAAUCGCGGAUCAGAAUGCCGCGGUGAAUGCGUUCCCGGGCCUUGUACACACCGCCCGUCACACCAUGGAAGUUGGGGGCGCCCGAAGUUGCCUAAGAAAUAAGGUACCUAAGGCGAAACCAAUGACUGGGGUGAAGUCGUAACAAGGUAAC
Molecule: ribosomal RNA, 207 nt
Filed under: uncultured bacterium
Lineage: Bacteria
Description: partial 16S ribosomal RNA
Rfam family: Bacterial small subunit ribosomal RNA
Source: RNAcentral